AUGCCAACACAGCACACACGUUCAAGUUCCCCCAAGCGCUGGAAGGUUUUCAAGUAUAACGGUUUCGUCACAGACGGGACCAGGGUCACAGGCAGUGGGCAAGGGGUCUGGAAGCCCAGGUGUGGGUGGACGUGCAGGCCCGUCCCGUGGCGCCCUUGUCCGCGCCCGGGGCCCCUCUGCCGGAUGCCAAGAGGCCGAGGUAGCUGUGAGAGGAGCUGGCGCGGGUGCAGGGGCGUGGGCUCACAUCACGGAGCAGCACUGGCAAGUCUUCUGCUUCGGGCCGCUCGCUCCCUCACCCUCGCGGCGGGCAGGUGCCUCGGGCUGCCUGGCAGGUGCGUAGGUGGGCACAGGGCGGGCGCUGGGCCCUUCCCGGGGAAGCAGUGGCUGGCGCUCAGCAGGCUGCUCGGGGGCUGGGGUCUCUGUCAAGAGGGCCGUGGGGUCCUCCGCAGAGCCCGGGCCCUCAGCAGCGCUUGGCAGCGGCUUGGCGGCCUCCUCUUCCUCCAGGGAGCUCUCCUGCCUCUCCUGGGGCUGCUGGCCUGGCUCCUCCUCACCCUGGAGGGGGGCCCCGGCCUCUCUCACCUCCUCUGCCUGGGCUUCGCUUCCUGCCCUGGCACCUCUCUGCUCAGGAUUCAGAUCCACCUCGGACCCUUGGAUCUUCUCCCCUCCACUCCUCCCCUUCCCCCAAUGACUCCUCCCCUUCUGUCCCCACCCCCAGUGGCUCCUCCCCUCCUUCUGUCCCCCGCCCCCACCGGCUCCUCCCUUGAUUCUGUCCCUGCCCCCACCGGCUCCUCCCCUCCUAUCCCCUCCCUCAUUGGCUCCUCCCCUCCUGUCCCUGCCCCCAGUGGCUCCUCCCUUGCUUCUGUUCCUGUCCCCACUGGCUCCUCCCCUCCUAUCCCCUCCCUCAGUGGCUCCUCCCCUCUUUCUGUCCCCGCCCCCAGAGGCUCCUCCCUUACUUCUGUCCCCUCCCCCAGCGGCUCCUCCCCUCCUUCAAUCCCCACCCCCAGAGGCUCCUCCUCUCCUGUCUCCACCCCUGGAGGCUCCUCCCCUCCCUCUAUCUCAGCCCCCAGAGGCUCCUCCCCUGCUCCUAUCCCCACCCUCAGAGGCUCCUCCUCUCCUUUCCCCGCCCCUGGA
This 1131-nucleotide long non-coding RNA is filed under the name Oryctolagus cuniculus (rabbit). Its description in RNAcentral is "lncRNA (ENSOCUG00000021806.2)". Lineage: Eukaryota; Metazoa; Chordata; Mammalia; Lagomorpha; Leporidae. The record is from RNAcentral.